GUUUCCUUUCUUUUACUCAGUGUGAGACCAACAAUAUGGAGCUUUUCUAAAUACCUCUUCCUCUCUAGUGGAAUAGGGUGCCAAAAUAAUACAUAGACAUCAGAGCUCCUACACUUUUUC
This is a long non-coding RNA of Myripristis murdjan (pinecone soldierfish), 120 nucleotides long. RefSeq lists it as uncharacterized. NCBI's taxonomy places the organism in Eukaryota, Metazoa, Chordata, Actinopteri, Holocentriformes, Holocentridae. The record is from RefSeq and is a predicted model, not a curated record. The transcript is spliced from 3 exons.